UGUUCUGUUUUUUUUUUUGGUUUU
RNAcentral lists this small RNA (24 nucleotides) under Arabidopsis thaliana (thale cress). RNAcentral describes it as "ATSL147470". Lineage: Eukaryota; Viridiplantae; Streptophyta; Magnoliopsida; Brassicales; Brassicaceae. The record is from RNAcentral.